AGUAACACUGACUUAGUUAAAGAAUUUUCCCUCAUAUUUUUCAUUAUGUAAAUAUUUUUAUUUUCAAAAAACCUGGCUUUUGGGGCUGGGGAUUUAGCUCAGCGGCAUAAGCGCCUGCUUUGCAAGCAAGCAGUCGUGAGUUCGAUACCCGGUACCGAUAAAAAGGAAAGACAAAAAAAAAACCCCACCUGGCUUUCAUAUUAAAAUAUUAUCAAUUGCAAGGACGAUCUCUUGAAUUUGGAAUAGAAUUUGGACUUCAGAAUUUAUGGAGUCUACCAAUAGAUAAGGAAUAUUGUCACAGUACAGUGUAGCAAGAAAAAGUAUGUACAUAAGUGUUUGGAUGGGAGGGAAAGAGGAUAGAGAGGAAAUAAAAGAAUUAUAUUCUUAGUAACUUUUUUUUUUUUUUUUUUUUGGCUUUUUGAAACAGGAUCUUACUAUAUAGUUCAAGUUGGUCUUGAACUCUCAAGUCUCGGACCUGCCUCAGUCUCUGGAGUGCUGGUAUUACAGGUCCAGGUCACCAUGCCCAGUUUAACAUUUCUUAAUGUUCUUCAAAUAAACAGAAUUGUUUUGAAAAUAAGAAGGAACAAUUGUAGGGAUGACAGCACUGUAAGCAAUCUGUGUAGUGUCUUUUUUAAUUUAAAAGAUGUAGAGUGAAACAAAAUCUGUCCCUUGUUACAGAACUACUUUAUCAUUUGGGUAAAAUUAUAGAAAACCACAUGAAAACAAAUUUAGAUAAAUUGGGUGAGAAUGUACAGAAGGAAAGCUUUUGUAAAGAAAAAGAGAUAGGCCUUCACAGAUAAAAUGUAGAGUAUAAAUAUAUGUGAAAGAAUCUUCACAGGAGAUCUUAAUCCAGGUUAAUCAUUCUUUGCCAAAUUUAAACCCAAGACAUUCAAUACGUUCUAAGGAUACAGUUAAACUUCUGUAUCUUUUCGAGUUCAGAAGCAACAGACCUGUGCAAGAAAUAAAAGUAAGUUUAUGCUAGUUGUUUCAUUCUUUUAUAUUCACAAACUGUGUUUGUUUAUGUUUUUGGAGACAGGAUCUUGCUAAAUCAAACUUUUCAUUCUUUUGCUUGGGUCUUCCAGUGUGCUAGACCAUAUAUAUUAUAUAUAUGUGUGUUGCCACCAUAUCAACCUUCAAAUUUCAAAUAAGCAUACUUGACUUUUUUUGUUUAAAUAAAGGUUAGGAUUUUAAAUGGAUGAACAUAAAAGUUAAGAAUUCUCUUUAUAUUAGAUUUAAUUAGCAACAAAUCAACUUGAUUCAACUGAUAUUUACUGAGUGCUUUUAAAAGUAAAAGAAUAAAAGUCCCCACCACAAGGACUUUGCAUUUAAGUACUGAUAUUCAAAGGUAAUGGACUUGCUUUAGGUACUUACCUGGCACACCAGAUACUUUCCGCCCUAAGGUUUACUACAACUUUAAAACCUACUAAAAUCCCAUCCCUUUUGUGCUUUUACAGAAACUAUCUCUCCUUUCUUGAAUUUUUGUAGCAGUGUUAUUCAAUUAUAUGCUUAUUUGUAAUAUUUUCUCUUGAGCUAUAACUUUCUGAUGCUCAUAUACUGAUUGUGCCAUCAACUAUAAUGUAUCUUGACUAUUGCUAUGAAAAAUUAAUGAGGACAUCUGUCUAAAAACACCUCUUUAUUCAUGUCACUAGAAAAGUCUUUUCACAAAGGAAUGCCGCUUGUAUGUUUUAUUGGCUUUACUACAAUGGACCACAUGCACCUCUUGUCAAUUUGCAGCGUUUCUCCCUUGUGUUCCAGCCUAUGGAUGGUCUUACGACUUGUGUUUGGAGGUCCUCCCAAAGCCCCAUACAGUCAUAGGGUACAGCUGAAGGAUGAGAUGCUGGAAAGCUGGAUCCUUAGAUACUUGAGAUACUCAACACAUACUGAUUGGAUUUGCUCUAAGAAUAACUUCAAAAAUGUGACUGGGCCAUCUCACUUCUGAGGUAUCAAUGAGGAGAUGCUGAAUUGCAGAAGGAAAAAGACAUGGUUCGUGCCUUGCUGUUUGCAGCCAGCCAUGAAUGGCGGCCGGCCAUGCCACCCUGCCUGCCGCUUGGAGCCAACUGAGUAUGGACUGAAAGCUCCACGAACUGUAAGAAAUAAACCCUUCCUUCCCUAACUUUGGGUAUCAGGUAUUUUGUUUCAGCAACAAGUAAAAAGUAAUUAGGGCAAGUUAUAUGUUACUACUGAAGAGAUUACUUAAUUUUCUAGUGACUUAGAUUCAUCAUUCCUGAAUUUAAUUUCCUACCUUUAAAAUGACUCUGACUUCACUUAUGCAAUUCUUACAAGUAUAGGAAAAGAAGAGAGCUGAGUUUCACUGGAACUCUACCACUUACUAGUUAUGACCCUCGGUUGUUUCUACAAUGAACAGUGGUAGUAGCAGGUCUGUUGUGAGAAAAUACAAAUGCCCAGCACUGAGAAAGUCACCUCAUAAGGACUCAGUAAAGAUUAUGAAAUGUUUUCAUUCCUUCCUAACACUAAUCCCACCUCUUCUGUAUUAUCCCCUUUUACUAUUCAGGUGAUCAAAUUUCACCUGUUUAAACAAAAUAACUUUCCAUAGAUAACACUUCCCCGGGUUACUCCAUUUCUUACCAAUAAACCUCUAAAGAGUAACAAAACUUUCACUGCCUACCUUUUCUAUCAAUUUUCAAUCCACUGCAAUCCAGUUUUUUGUAUACUUCUCUAUUAUUCUUUUACAAUGGUCACCAAUGUCUUCUGAAUCCUACUAGACCCGGUCUAUCUGUGAUCACAUUAUCUACAGUUCCCUGCACCAAACUCUUCCCUUGCUGUCCCCACUCAACACCAAUUUCUCAUUUUGGGUUUCUUCCCUCUGCCUAUAUCUGUUUUCUAUCAUUCACUUAAUUACCAUAAGUUAAGGUUCAAGACCUGAUCUUAGUCUCCAUUUCAUCUCUUCUUGAUAUAAACACUCAUGUCACUGUUAGGCCUCACCUUGUUUUUUUUUUCAUCUUGCCCUCUUUCAAUGCAUGCAAUCAGUUGCAUGUGACACAGCCUAUACUUUUUGUGGACUGUCUGGAUAUAAGUAAAUAAUCCUUGGGUCUCGCCUAAGGAAAGUCACAUAAUUUUCUUUUCUUUCUCUAGAGAACUUCUCAAUCUACCUGACCUCUUUCCAGAACAUUUGGUAUCCUGACUGCUAUCUUGCUAGACUUAUUUUCAUGCCCAUUUCAUAAAUAAAUCAAACCCACUAUGACUAAAAUGGAACUUAAACUACUCCCAACAAAAGCAUACUUCUAUAAUAUCCUAUAAUUUUACUGUCACUCUUUUUUUGUUUUGGUCUUUCUGAGGCAGGGUUGCACUAUAUAAUUCAGGCUGGCCUUGAACUGUUUUGUAGCACAGGCUGGUAGCCAUCCUCCUGCCUCAGCCUUACACAUGCUAGGAUUACUGGCAUGCAACCACAAUACUUGGCUUCACUUUCACUAUCAUCUCUUCCCUCAAAUCCAAUCUAAAUACAGUAGCCAGAGAUCUUUUAAAAUAAAAACCAGAUCUAUCACCCCUUGGCUUAAAACCCACCAAUAUCUUCCAUUUGCACUUAGAAUAAAAUCCAAACUUCUAAUCAUUGGGGCUGGCGAUUUAGCUCAGCAGCAUAAGUGCCUGCCUUGCAAGCAGACAGUCGUGAGUUCGAUCCCCGGUACCGAUAAAAACAAGCGAACAAACUUCUAAUCAUAUCCUACGAAGGCCAUACAAUCAAGCACUAUUUAUAUGUACAAAUGUCAAGUCAACUGUUCAUGAUCUUUUAUUCACUUUGCUUUUUCAAGUUCUCAUCUUAGGAUGUUUGUACCAUUCUUUCGGCCUAUUUUGUCCUUUCCUUAGUUAUCACACUUUUGUUUGUCAUUAUGGAGAUCUCAAAACGCCUGGCUCGACCACCAACUUAAAAGUUGCUCCUAAUCAUCUCCUAAUCAUUUAUUCUAAUUCAUCUCUAUCACUAUUAAAAUUAUUUGCUUUUCAUCUUUAUGGAUUAAUGUAUGCAACUUGAAUACUGCAAAAAUAAACUUUGUUCCUUAUAA
Cavia porcellus (domestic guinea pig) is the source of this 4016-nucleotide long non-coding RNA. RefSeq lists it as uncharacterized. NCBI's taxonomy places the organism in Eukaryota, Metazoa, Chordata, Mammalia, Rodentia, Caviidae. The transcript has 4 exons. The record is from RefSeq and is a predicted model, not a curated record.